UACAUAACUCGGUGAUUGCAUUUUACUAAAGAUUAUAUUGUACCUUCUACUACCAAAACGUUAUCCUGAGAAUAAGUGAGACAUCUCAUUUGAUUUUUGACUUAAGUCAAGUUUUUCGUGCCGUUGAAAAUGCCGUGUCGUCGAACCGUGGUGAGAUGCACAAAGAAAACAAUAAGUUGUCCGGUGCCUGCUCGAAGAAACUGUGAAUCUUUCUUUGUCACUGCAAUCCUUGGCGUGCAAAAUGUGAUUCAGCGUAUGAUCAGCUGGUGUCCGCCCGAGUGUCCGGCCGAACCGGCUUCCUCCGCCGACUCAGACUGCGAGCCUGCAGAGGAGGUGCCCGGCUGCAACUGUCCGCCCAACCCGGCCAAAUACCUGCGCCGCCUCUGGAAGAUCCAGGAGAAGAUCAUGUGCGCUCCGGCCACCCGCGUGGUGGUAGCACUGCUCGCCUGCCGCGCACUCCUUCAGACGCUCGGCGUCAAGGUCUGCUUCAUGAACUCAAUGUGAUUUGCUGCUCAAAUCCCCACCACUCGUCAUCUGUGCCGUAUGAUACUGAUUGCUAAAUUUGUGACGAUUCCGACACAUUUUUACGCUUUGACAGUUUUUUUUUUACUCAUGAUUAAUCAAGUGCAUUUUCGCCGCCACUUUGCAAAUAAUACACUAAAUAUUUGUUUUUCAA
Molecule: long non-coding RNA, 676 nt
Organism: Amphibalanus amphitrite
Lineage: Eukaryota; Metazoa; Arthropoda; Thecostraca; Balanomorpha; Balanidae
Exons: 2
Source: RefSeq, a predicted model, not a curated record